GCGCCGCUAGCUCAGUUGGUUAGAGCAGCUGACUCUUAAUCAGCGGGUCCGGGGUUCGAGUCCCUGGCGGCGCACUA
RNAcentral lists this transfer RNA (77 nucleotides) under Streptomyces glaucescens. RNAcentral describes it as "tRNA-Lys". It matches the Rfam family "tRNA". Rfam says of the family: Transfer RNA (tRNA) molecules are approximately 80 nucleotides in length. Their secondary structure includes four short double-helical elements and three loops (D, anti-codon, and T loops). The record is from RNAcentral. RNAcentral also lists the same sequence under 4 other names. Lineage: Bacteria; Bacillati; Actinomycetota; Actinomycetes; Kitasatosporales; Streptomycetaceae.